This 407-nucleotide unclassified non-coding RNA is filed under the name Hevea brasiliensis (rubber tree). Lineage: Eukaryota; Viridiplantae; Streptophyta; Magnoliopsida; Malpighiales; Euphorbiaceae. The record is from RNAcentral.
CCAUUAAACCCAGUGGCUCUUCCUCUCCUCCUUGGGCAUUAGAGUUUGAUUCCUGGCUUAAAGAUGCUCUUCUUCAAGGAAGGUAAUUCUUUGAUCCAAGAUUGUUUCAAUUCUCCAUCUGUAUGUCCUUUGCUAAUAUAAUAUCCCAUUGAUAUUCCUUCAAUUUUAUAAGGAUGGCAAUCUUAACUAGAGUUAUUGUUUCAUGGAUUAGCCUAGACUGUGCACAGUGUUUUUAGUAGGAUGUUUUCUACAGGAAAAAUAAGAGGGCUAGCUAGUGUUAUCUAGAACAGGAACCGAAACCACAUUUUAUUAUGGUUUUGGUUCUGUUUUUUUGGUUGUUUUGAUUUCGGUUUGGUAUGGUUAUGAGUUUAUAAAUUUAGGUUCCGUUUAAUACCAUUCGAUUUUGG